This is a non-coding RNA of Solanum lycopersicum (tomato), 6261 nucleotides long. NCBI's taxonomy places the organism in Eukaryota, Viridiplantae, Streptophyta, Magnoliopsida, Solanales, Solanaceae. The record is from RefSeq and is a predicted model, not a curated record.
CCAGAGGAAAAUUAUUUCAUCAAAGCGAUUUUUCUGUAUUGAUUUUUUUAUAAAAAAAAUUGAUGUGUCCUUUUGAAAUUUUUGACAAUUUUUUGUUUUUUUGCAUUUUGGCUAUCGACUCCUAUAUAAUCUAUGAAAGUAAUAAAAAUAUUAUUUAGGAAUUAACUACUCUGAGAAAUUAGGUACUACCAAUUGAAGAACUGCAUAGAAUUUUUUUUUUGAAAGGAAUAAGUUUUUUUGUUGUGGCAUCAAUUUCUUAUUCGUGACUCUUCGUGUAUAACUAUAAUUUAAUUUGAAGAUAACGUCUUUGAGUGUGGCCAAACUCCAAAGGUUUGAUGUGGUGUUGCUUAUAUAUGGGUACUUCUAGCGCUAUAAUACAAGUUCUUUUAAAUAAAUUUUUUGCUUGGAGCCUUUUAUUGAAUAAAUUGUGGUCCAUACAUAUAAAAAAGCCCAUGGCCCAAUAAUAACGAAAAUACAGAAUACCUAAUUUUUUCCAAUCUCUACUCAUCCUUGGUGAGUACACAAUACUCUUUCAUCCACUUUCUCCACUGCAUUGUCGCAGAAAAUUCUAGUUGUUCUGCCUCCUCCUUUGAAUCAUUUUUGAGCUCGAGUGGUGUUCAUUGUACCUGAUGUAGAUCUCGUGAUGUAUCUUUCCCUUGAAACAUUCUAAAGCUCCAUUGGUUCAAGAUGAAACCAUUGAGGAUUGAAAAUGAGGUCGAUUCUAAUAUGAAGAAUGCUAUCGAAUAUAUGUUUAUCACGCCUAGUGCUAUUGAUAAGGGACAAGGACGAGGGCUUAAAUCUUUGGAUGAGAAAUGAAAUUUACCAUCUAAGAGUAUAUUUCCUCAAUCAAGUGAUCUAUUUGGGAAGCACAUCAAUGAAAUUGAAACAAGUUCUAUAGGGAAGGAACAGGAACAAGGACUUAAAAACACUACCGUGUCCACUAGUCAAGGAAAACGAGUGACACAUAAGAACUUCAUGACUUUUGAGAAAGAGAACGUUCAAAUUAGUACUUCAUCUCCUACAUCUACUAAUAAAGUAAAGAAAUACUCCCAAGAAGUUGAAACAAGAACUUGAGUUGAUUGAGAAAUGUUGUCUAUCGUUGCAUGCAAAAUUAGUGAAUGUUCAAAGAAUAGUUUGGCGAGGAGACGAGGUAAGGUAAGGCGACUGUAGAAAAUUUUUGCAACCAUAAUUUUUUUAUGAUGGCUCUGUUUUUAAAUUUUAAGCUGUAUAAAUUUUAUUUUUAAAAUUUCUAUACUGCGCAAAACUUGCAAGCAGAUGCUCAAUUUUUUUAUGCUAGCUCAAUUUUAAAUUUUUGGCACUGCUACAACAUUUGUUUAGUAGAAAUCAAACGAAAGCAUGGAAAAAUUGCAGUGCUGAAAAAUUGCAGCCAACUGCUCAGUUUAGUAGAAACCUAACGAAAGCAUGGAAAAAUCAAAGAUGUAUUGACAACUAUAAUGUUCAGUUACAAGCUCCUUAUAUAGGAGAAGAGUCCUAUUGUAGUUAUACUAGGAAUCCUAAUACAACUGAAAUAAUUACAUCGGUAGUAUUUUAUUACAAGUCAAAUAAGUUAUCCAAGUCGACUCCAAUAAUAUUCAGUAGCUUAGUCAUACAUUACAUAGAAUUUAGUUGUCUAGUCCUAAUAUGAAUUAACUCUAACUCGUAAGCCUGCUUUGGUGGAUCUGUUCCUUCGACGUGUUCCAUCAGUCGCCAAGUUUCCUUCAACACAUCCCCUCAAGCUAGUGAAUGGAGGAACUCUAACUCCUAACUAGCUACAAAAUAAGAGAAAACCUAUUGUGUUAAGGCUUUGGUGUUAAUAUCAGCUUUUGAUCCUUACACUUCACAAACUGAGUAAGAAGUCAUCCCCUGGCCACUUUCUCAUGAACAAAAUGACAGUCCAUUUAAACAUGUUUUGUUCUAGCAUACAUAACUGGAUAAUUAUCUUGUACAAGACACUUAUAGUAUCACAAUACAUUGUAGGAACAGAUCAAAAUAACAUUCCAAGGUCAUAAAAAAAGAUACAAAAUCAAAUUCAUUUAUGCAGCAGUGGAGGCUAGCUCUCUAUGCUCUGUUUCAGUACUAGAUCGGCCUAUUGUGUUCUGUUUCUUAAAGGUCGAAAAAAUACAAUUUGCACCUACGUUGAUGCUAUAGCCUAUAGUUGAUCUCCUAGUUGUUGUACAACCUCCCAAAUCAGCAUCAGAGUAGCCAUACAACCUACAUGGUGAUUGUGAAAUAAUUCUGAGUCUAAGGUGUAUAGUUCCUUUGAUGUACCUGAGAAUCCUUUUUACCCCUUGAAGAUGUUGAAUGUUUGGGCUUUGUAUAAACUAGCCUUCUAAAUUCACAUCAUGAGUGAUAUCAAGUCUUGUAAGGAUCAAGUAUUGAAGUCUCACAACUAUCAUUCUCUAAAAGAAUGCAUCUACAUGACUUCCCACAACUUCAUCCAAACCAUGUUUUUACCCAAAGAAGUGGCUACAACAUUUGCCAAAGUCAUCUCUGUCAUGGACUACAACUCAAUAACAUACUUGAUUUGAUUUAAGUUAAUUCAACCUGCGAAAUACUUCACCUCAAUUCUUAGGAAGUAACGUAAUGGGCCAAGAUCUUUCAUACCAAACUCCUUCCCAAGUUGUAGAACCAACUCUGAGACAUGAGGUGGAUUACUUCCUUUGACAAUAAUAUUAUCUACAUAUAACAAGAAAAUAUUUUGCCUUUGUGAGUUUGCAAAGUAAAUAAGGAAGGGUCAGCCUUAUUACAAAUGAAACCAAGGUGUAAGAGAUGCAUACGAAACAUAUCAAACCAAGAACUUGGUGCAUGUUUAAGACCAUACGAUGCCUUUUUAUGUAGACAUACAUGCCGAUGAUACUGUGAUCAAUAAAACCAAGAGGUUAACUCAUGUACACAUCCUCUUGUAAGAAACCAUGGAGAAAGACAUUUUUUGACAUCUAAUUGUCUAACUUCCCAAUUUGAACUGACAGCAACGGGUAGAACCACCCUAACAUUUGUAGCAUUAACUACAAGAAUAAAUGUUUCUUCAAAAUCUGUCAAUUCAAAUUGCGAGAAUCCCCUAGCCAUAUGUCUGGCCUUGUAUCUAUCUAAUGUCCCAUCAAAAUUUUUAAUUUUGUCUAAACACCCAUUUUACCCAACCAAGUUUAUAUCAGGAGAUUCGGGCACCAAAAUCGAUAUUUUGUUAGUAUGUAAAGCAUUAAUAUCUUCGUGCAUUGCUUCAAGCCAUUGAGGUUAUUUUAGUGCUUCCUUAGUAGUAUUUGGUUCUCCCACAAUUUUUGUUCUACUGCGAGCAACAAUUGACAGGUGAUGUUCCUUCUCCUUCUGCCUGGUGAUCAUAUGAUGCCCUUGUGGUUCAGGAAGUACCUCAGCCGGUACAUCAACCAAUACAGUUGACUGGAGUGUAUCAUUGUCAGGUUGAUUGUAAAUCGGUACAUAACCUAAAGUUGUUCUUUGAUGAUGAUCACUGUUUUGAAUUGGAAGAGAAACUCGUUCCUCACUGCUCCUGAGAGAUUCAAAAUCUGUAAUUGGAGUUUCAACACUACUAUAUGGGUCACCAGCUUCAACUUGUUCCUUAGAAUCUGAUCCUGCACCUGAGAGGUUAAUAAUACUUCUCAUCAUCAAUGAGUACAUGAGGUGUCGAAACAUUAUCACUAUUAAUGUGUGGUCUAGAAACAUGUACUUCGUUUGAAUCAAAAUUAUCAUGUGCUAGCAGUUUAAAGAAAGAUUCAACAAAAGUAGCAAGGUGAGGUGAGACAUCAAUAUUAGUUUGAGAUUGCUUUAGAGACACAUAGGGUAAUGUGUUUUCAUCAAACACAACAUGUAUUGAUAUGUAAACCCUCAUUGUACAGGGAUCAUAGCCUAUAUAUCCUUUGUGUAAGUUGUUGUACCCUAUGAACACACAAGGGUAGGUUUUUGGACCGAAGUUAUAUAGGACCAGAGUUAUAUUCUAGUUAUACUAGGAAUCCUACUACAGCACAAAUAUUUACAUGGGUAGUAUUUUAUUACAAGUCAAAUACCCUAACUUACUCGACUCCAAUAAUGGUUAGUAGCUUAGUCGUACAUAAAACAGUGUUUUGUAGUCUAGUCCUAGUAUCAUUCUAACACUAACUCGUCAGCCUGGUUCGAUGGACCAGUAACUUCGACGUGUUCCAUCAGUCUUGAAGCUUCACUGAAUAGUUUACCAUUAGUUUCCAACUCUAAUAUUUAUUGGCAAUAUUAGUGCACUCCUUGUUGUAUGAUCUAGACAUCUAAAAAAAAUAGUUAAUAUCAGUCGAAUACUCCUAAUUUUUUUUCUUUUCGAUAUCAAAUAAUGCAAACCAUAGUAAACAGGAAGAAUGUUAUUUAAGAUUUCAUACCAAAUAUUACCUUGUCUAGGCUUUUAUUCAACAUGAGCUCAUAUACCAUAAAUUUUCCGCUACAUUAAAUCAAUAUCCAAAUAAAUUGAUUAGGUAACAAUGUAGUUGCUUUUCUAUUAACUUGACUUCAUUGUUGAAUUUAGUAAAUUUUUGGCGUGAAGUCAUGUCUUGCUUCUUCACUGCUAUUUCUACUAUAUUCUCUAGUACACUCUACAAAUAUUAUGUACAAGUUUGCUAUUAAUUAUUGUGUCUGAGUUACUGUAAAUAUGCAUUUUCAUGCUUGUUUAAAAGAAAUAAUAACCUUAUAAACAUUGUCAAAUCCAUCAUGCCCUAUCUUAUAAAAAAAAGGUGAACUACAAAUAAGAUAGGGCAAGAUGGCUUUGGCAAUGUUUAUAAUGUUAUGAUUUCUUUUCAACAAGCAUGAAAAUGCUUAUUUACAAUAACUAAGAUGGCAAAAUUAAUACCCGAAUGAUAUAUAAUAUAUGUAGGGUGUAUUAGAGAAUGGGGAGUAGAAAUAACAGGGAAGAAGCAAGACGUGACUUCACCCAAGGAUAUACAGAGUUCGAGAAUGAAGUCAAAUUAAUAGCAAAUGUACAACAUCGUAACCUAACCAAGUUGUUGGGAUACAACAUUAAUGGAGUAGAAAAAUUCCUAGUCUAUGAGUUCAUGACGAAUAAUAGCCUAGGCAAGGUCAUAUUUAGUAUGAUAUCUUAAAUAACAUUCUUCUAUUUACUAUUGUCGGUGUUGUUUUUGAUAUUGAAAAGCCACAAAAAAUAGAAAUUAGAGUAUUCAAGUGAAAUUUAGCAACUGUAUUCUCUACAUGUAUAAAUCCUCCAACAAGCAGUAUAGUAACAUGGACAAUGAGCAGCUGGCUAUAAUUUUUGAACAGUGAAGAAGUUACAAAAACAGAGCAUAAAAAACGAGCAACUGGCUGCAAUGUUGCAACAGUGCAAAAUGUUUUUACAAAAAAUUUAUGCAGCCAUCGUUCAAUAAAAUACAUCCACUGAUAAUGAUUGGGUCCAAAAAUUUAAGCUUCAGUAGCUAAAUAAACAGGUAAGUUCACCAUGAAAUCAAAAAAAGAAGGAGGUGUGACUUUUUCUAACUAGCAAAAUGUUUUGGGUAUUUAUUCUUAAAUAGGUUCCAAGAUUUCAAUUCUCAACUCUUUUGAUUCAAGAAAACUAAAAAUAUUAAUAAUUCAAUCAGCGGCUCACACACUUCUUUAGACAACAAACGACGAAGUGCAAGAUGGAGUAGAUGUUGCAACAUAAUAUGAUAAUCAUGACUUUUCAAUCCAGGUAUCUUGUGAUCAUUUAAUUCACAUACUGAGAAAUAUUAGAUGGAAAUCAUCAAAAAAAUUUAGAUUCUUUAAGAAUAGUCACAAAUUUGUGCUUAUCUUUUAUGAGAAUAUGUGUAGCCUGCUUUUGGAAAGUCAAAUUUCUCCCCCUUUGGAUGGGGUGCAAUUACGACCUAAUGUUCAUCUCUUGCAAGUCUAAUAGAGUUUUAAUUGUGUCCUUGGUCUUUUUUUGACAUUCAUAUAUGUCCCCAUGAUAUUAUCACGUAUAUUUUUUCAAUAUACAUAACAUCCAAAUUAUGUAGCAACAAGAGACACUUCCAAUAUGGAAGUUCAAAAGAGAUAGUUUUUUAUUCCAAUUAUCCAUUCAAUUUCAUGUGAUUUCUUCUUUCUUAUCUUAGGAUCCAUUGAUAAAUGUAAUUCUUCAAGAUCUUGCACUUGAUUAAGUAUCUCUAUAAAGAACUCACUUUUGGUGGGGACAUUUUCUCUAUUGUACCAUCAAAUGAGUCCUUCUCACUUCUAAAGUUGUGAUUCUGAGAAAGAUAACGCCGAUAACCUGUAAAACACUGUUUCUUACAAUUAGCCUAUUGAAUUAAGACAGUUCCUUUACGGCAA